UGCGAGUCNUUGUAGCAUACAAGGCAGACGGCUCAGUAACGNNNNNNNNNNNNNCCCUAUGGACGGGAAUAACCUCGGGAAACUGANANUANUGCCCGAUAGAACAUUAUGCCUGGAAUGGUUUAUGUUUCAAAUGAUUUAUCGCCGUAGGAUGGGACUGCGGCCUAUCAGUUUGUUGGUGAGGUAAUGGCCCACCAAGACUAUUACAGGUACGGGCUCUGAGAGGAGUAGCCCGGAGAUGGGUACUGAGACACGGACCCAGGCCCUAUGGGGCGCAGCAGGCGAGAAAACUUUGCAAUGUGCGAAAGCACGACAAGGUUAAUCCGAGUGGUUUCUGCUAAAGGAACCUUUUGUCAGUCCUAGAAACACUGAUGAAUAAGGGGUGGGCAAGUUCUGGUGUCAGCCGCCGCGGUAAAACCAGCACCUCAAGUGGUCAGGAUGAUUAUUGGGCCUAAAGCAUCCGUAGCCGGCUCUGUAAGUUUUCGGUUAAAUCUAUACGCUCAACGUAUAGGCUGCCGGGAAUACUGCANAGCUAGGGAGUGGGAGAGGUAGACGGUACUCGGUAGGAAGGGGUAAA
This 577-nucleotide ribosomal RNA is filed under the name uncultured archaeon. Its description in RNAcentral is "partial 16S ribosomal RNA". It matches the Rfam family "Archaeal small subunit ribosomal RNA", at positions 52 to 636 of the family's 1478-position model. The record is from RNAcentral.